Molecule: long non-coding RNA, 2501 nt
Filed under: Setaria italica (foxtail millet)
Lineage: Eukaryota; Viridiplantae; Streptophyta; Magnoliopsida; Poales; Poaceae
Description: long non-coding RNA (SITA_LNC004297)
Source: RNAcentral
UUUGCGUUAACACGCUUCUAACCAAACAGCUCGGAGAUUUGAUGGUACCGAGGAGAAUCAUGUAAAUCUUGAUGGCAUUGGUCAAUCAAUUGCAAUGUUUAUCAUUUUCGGGGAGAAUUAGCUUUAUUCCUUUUGCCUCACCACCGCCGGUUGUCCAAUUUGCAAUUUGCUUGCCCCUCUCCAAUUUGCAAAAACUUGAGCCACUCGGUUAAUACCCCUCCAAUUGCUUGGUUAUACCUCCUCAAAAACUAGUGGAAAAAUGAAAAAAGGGAAAUAGAUAAACAAGGGCAUCAGUAGUAACAAUUUGUUCAAUUGAACAACAAAGUGUUUUCUAAAAGAAAGAAAGAAAGAAAUAUGCUGUAGCAACAAAUUGUUCAAUUGAACAACAAAGUGUUUUCUAAAAGAAAGAAAGAAAGAAAUAUGCUGUAGCAACAAAUCAGAGGUUGAUGAAAUUGUCAAUGCCGGCAGUUCUGAGAGUUAACUCACGCAUUCGAGAUGUUGACACCCAUCAAACCAUGGGCAUGUUCGCUUCAGCUUAUAAGCUGGCUGAAAAGUUGAAACGGCUGAUUUGUUGUGAGAGGAAAACACUGUUUGGUGGCUGAUAAGCCGGCUGAAUAAGCUGAAGCGAACAAGCUGCAUGUUUCAAAUCUGACAGUGGGACGGUUGGGAAGUGUCAUGAUGGCAUCACUAAUGGCACUAAAAAACACACAUCUGACAGAGUUAUCAUUGACAUAAACUGUGACCUCAACCUUGCUGAGAGCGGAGAGGUGCUGGAUGCCUAAACUAGAAGCAACAUACUAGAUUACUAGCACCCCAUCUUAUUAUGGGAAGGGAACAUGAGAUCAAGAUUUGGCAUUGAUCCGACUUGAAACUCCAGCGCGGUCCCACAAUAACAAAUGCGCAGGGAGAAAUAUUUUAGACUUCUGAAUCCGUUAUUGCCACGGACAAUGAUCCUCCCUUUGGUGCCUCCGGCAGUUUUUAGUUCGAGAAACAAUAAACUGGGUAUUGCUCCAAGGAUCUCACCAUCCUCUGGUCUCAAACAGAUGAUGGUCAGUUUUAGCACCACGAGGGGAGCCCAUCCAAUUUGGAACCUUGUAGCAGGGACAACCUUCUAUGCAGAGGGAGACCACCCAAAAUAACCCGAUGGUAACAACGCAAACCAAUCUACCGGCACAGCCUCAAAAGUUAGAAACCACCACCGACCAUUUUAGCAAAGAUCCACAUUCAACCACGCAGGCGGAGGACCAAGUGCAGGGUGCAACCAUCUUGGAUAUUGCAAUCAGCCACUGUGCACUCAUUCUCGAGCUGCUUGCCUGCAAAGAUGACCCGCUGCUGGUCCACUGGAAUUCCCUCCUUAUCUUCAAUCUUGGUCUUCACCUUGUGGAUUGUGUCUGACUGCUCAACAUCCAACGUCAUAAGCCUGCCAUAGAGGGUCCUAACAAAAGAUCCGCAUGCCACCACGUAGGCGCAAGACAAGGUGCAGGGUGGACUAUAUAUUGCCGCCCAUCCUUCACCCAUGAUAAACUGAAUGGAUGAGCCAGAAAUUGGCGUUCAUCCAAACAACAGCCCAUGCAAACCGUAAAUGCCAUCCUUUUUGCAGGGUGGACUGAGGAAGUGAGGAUUCGUUCCAGCUUCGAUCUAAACAAACCCUUAGUUACAGAGAAGGUAAGCAUGAUCAUUGUAGAAGUAGCCAUAUAUGAGAUAAUCUAUAAUCUAUAAGUAGAUAAAUGAACAUGAAGGUGAACCAAGCACCCUGGAUCACACCGAUUGGAACGUAUAAACAUAUGGACUAAUCAGGAUAUUAAUCACCCCAAGGAAUGUUCUGAGUCUGCUCAAUCUACAAGUAACUUUUUCAAGAACGUGCAAUGCACGUCUUUUAAUUAUUAAAAGAAACGCUAUGAGUAACUUAAUCAGAACCAUGUGAGUCAAUCAGGUAAAAGACCACACUGACACUGGAAGGCAGGAACCCACUCUGAAGACCAACUAGUUUAACAGAAAUGAUACAAAGUGCUGUACAUCUCCUUGACUAGAAAUCAAGAUGAUGUAUUCCAUUGCAGAAAAGUUUAGCCCACCUUCUGAACAGCGAUCAAAAUUUCAGGUACUUCACUACUAUGUAUUUACGAAGCAUCCUACCCUAACAUACCUGAACUCAAAAUGCCCCAAAAACAAACACUGUACUAAUCCAACAUAUACUGUAUGUCCGAAAUCAUACACCAACACAUCGAAUCUAUGGACCAAACGCAGAAAACCACCAGGAUUUUGGACCAAAUGCAGAAAAUUUUUGAACACGGAGCAAAUAUUAGCCAACUAGUUUCACAUACCGAAUGAGAGUGCGGGGAGAGUAGAGUAGGAUUGGGGUACCUUAAGAAGGGGAUUAGAGGAAGAUUCUCGAUUGGUGCUUCGAUUCAUUAUUAAUCUGCUAUUGUUUCUGCCGGUCUCUACACGAACCAGAGGAGAAGAACAUAACAGCUGCGGCGUUUCAGUUGGACCGGGCCAUCCGG